UACGUAGGGUGCAAGCGUUGUCCGGAAUUAUUGGGCGUAAAGAGCUCGUAGGCGGUUUGUCGCGUCUGCUGUGAAAACUCGGGGCUUAACUCCGGGCCUGCAGUGGGUACGGGCAGACUAGAGUGCGGUAGGGGAGACUGGAAUUCCUGGUGUAGCGGUGAAAUGCGUAGAGAUCAUGAGGAAGACCAGUGGCGAAGGCGGGUCUCUGGACAGUUCCUGACACUGAGGCACGAAGGCCAGGGGAGCAAACGGG
Molecule: ribosomal RNA, 253 nt
Filed under: uncultured bacterium
Lineage: Bacteria
Description: partial 16S ribosomal RNA
Rfam family: Bacterial small subunit ribosomal RNA
Source: RNAcentral